UACGGGGGGUGCGAGCGUUGUCCGGAAUCACUGGGCGUAAAGGGCGCGUAGGUGGUUUGAUAAGGGUGUGGUGAAAGUCCGGGGCUCAACCCCGGAUCUGCCGUGCCGACUGUCAAACUCGAGGACUGUAGAGGCAGACGGAAUUCCGGGUGUAGCGGUGGAAUGCGUAGAGAUCCGGAGGAAGACCAGUGGCGAAGGCGGGUCUCUGGACAGUUCCUGACACUGAGGCACGAAGGCCAGGGGAGCAAACGGG
This 253-nucleotide ribosomal RNA is filed under the name uncultured bacterium. RNAcentral describes it as "partial 16S ribosomal RNA". It matches the Rfam family "Bacterial small subunit ribosomal RNA", at positions 524 to 776 of the family's 1533-position model. The record is from RNAcentral.